GCAGGCCUAACACAUGCAAGUCGAGCGGUAACAGAGAGUAGCUUGCUACUUUGCUGACGAGCGGCGGACGGGUGAGUAAUGCCUAGGAAUCUGCCUAGUAGUGGGGGAUAACGUUCGGAAACGAACGCUAAUACCGCAUACGUCCUACGGGAGAAAGUGGGGGACCUUCGGGCCUCACGCUAUUAGAUGAGCCUAGGUCGGAUUAGCUAGUUGGUGAGGUAAUGGCUCACCAAGGCGACGAUCCGUAACUGGUCUGAGAGGAUGAUCAGUCACACUGGAACUGAGACACGGUCCAGACUCCUACGGGAGGCAGCAGUGGGGAAUAUUGGACAAUGGGCGAAAGCCUGAUCCAGCCAUGCCGCGUGUGUGAAGAAGGUCUUCGGAUUGUAAAGCACUUUAAGUUGGGAGGAAGGGCAGUAAAUUAAUACUUUGCUGUUUUGACGUUACCGACAGAAUAAGCACCGGCUAACUCUGUGCCAGCAGCCGCGGUAAUACAGAGGGUGCAAGCGUUAAUCGGAAUUACUGGGCGUA
RNAcentral lists this ribosomal RNA (531 nucleotides) under Pseudomonas sp. RT2. RNAcentral's name for it is "bacterial SSU rRNA". It matches the Rfam family "Bacterial small subunit ribosomal RNA", at positions 42 to 562 of the family's 1533-position model. Lineage: Bacteria; Pseudomonadati; Pseudomonadota; Gammaproteobacteria; Pseudomonadales; Pseudomonadaceae. The record is from RNAcentral.